CAACAUAGCCUUGAAAAACACACACGCACCGGCACAUGGUCCCGGGUGCUGCCGCGGCACCGCCUCGGUAGUCGGAUCCAUGGGGUGCGUGGAGGCCUAAC
Halomonas sp. BC04 is the source of this 101-nucleotide small RNA. It matches the Rfam family "t44 RNA". Rfam says of the family: This family consists of a number of bacterial RNA genes of between 135 and 170 bases in length. The t44 gene is found between the map and rpsB genes in all species in the full alignment apart from Shigella flexneri. NCBI's taxonomy places the organism in Bacteria, Pseudomonadati, Pseudomonadota, Gammaproteobacteria, Oceanospirillales, Halomonadaceae. The record is from Rfam.